Long non-coding RNA from Episyrphus balteatus (marmalade hoverfly), 978 nucleotides. RefSeq lists it as uncharacterized. The transcript is spliced from 2 exons. Lineage: Eukaryota; Metazoa; Arthropoda; Insecta; Diptera; Syrphidae. The record is from RefSeq and is a predicted model, not a curated record.
UAAUUUGCAGCGAAAUGGCGUAUGAAAUAAAAAAUAUUUUGAUUAAUUAAUUAAUUCUUAUUAUUAGGCAAUGUUUUAGUGAAAGAGUUGUAAAAAACAAAAACCAAUUAUGAGCGGAGGAAGCAAAAUACUGUUGCAAAGUCGGGAUUUUUCGAAAUUUCACAAAAAUUGCAUUAAAUUGAAAACCGUUAGGAUUUGGGAUGAACAAGUUACCAAAUUCUGAGAGCCCUUAAGUUGGCCUAUAAGCAUAUUUCGUUUGAUCCAUUACUUUUGGGACACCCUAUAUACCUAGGGGAGAGUGGGGCCAAAUGUAACACUUUUUUCUAAAAUCGAUGGUUCUCCUACAAAUUUGAAAGUGGGUCAACCAGACCUUUUUUAAAUUAUAGACCCAUGUUUUAGCUCCAAGAUCCAUCAUAAAAAUUUAGCAAAACAUAACGGUAAUGUUGAAAAAUAAAGCUUCCAAAAAAAAAAUCGUGUUGUUUCAACUUACCCCACAUACGGGGCAAAGUGUAACACAUACCGGGGUAGGUUGUACCAAGAAAUAAAAAUAAGAGAAAAAUACCUUUAUUUGAUGUUUAUAUUUAUUUAUUUUUAAUUAAUAACAAUAAAAACAAACCUCAGUCAUGAAAUUUUGGUGCAAAUUUGUUAAAAGUGGAGCAAAUCCAAGAUUUCCACAGAAAAUUUGACAGUAGUCUUAAAUAAAAGUUAUUCGAAUUCAUAAAUUGUUUUAUAAGCUUUAUGAAUUCAAGUGGUGGUUCAAAAAUGUGUUUCCAAUUUCAAAAUAAAUACAAAUUCAAUUACAAGCAUUCAUAUCCAGGGUUGUUUAUUAUAUUAUUUAAACAAUUUUUCAGUAUAGGUAGGUUUUUACAUGGUACAACUUGCCCCGGAAAAAUGUUACAACUAGCCCCAGCAUGAAAUUUGGCACAUAAAAUCAAUUUAAAAAAAAAAGCGAAACUGAUAUAGACAUAACAUAUACAC